This 7608-nucleotide long non-coding RNA is filed under the name Eucalyptus grandis. Its description in RNAcentral is "long non-coding RNA (EGRA_LNC006836)". The record is from RNAcentral. Lineage: Eukaryota; Viridiplantae; Streptophyta; Magnoliopsida; Myrtales; Myrtaceae.
CCGAGCCACGUGCCUCAAACCUCGGACCCACGUGCAUUCUCUAAGGCGACCUCUUCGCCAAGGUGGUACAUCAAGCCACCGAGCCACGUGUCCUUUUUACGAUGCCCGGGCCCACGUGCAUUCUCUAAGGUGCUAUCUCACCAAGGUGAUGCAUCAAUUCACCGAGCCACGUGCCCUUUUAGAUGCCAUUCCGGAAUGCUGGACCCACGUGCAUUCUCUAAGGUACUCGCUUACCAAAGUGACGCAUCAGAUCACCGAGCCACGUGUCCUUUUAGAUGCCAAAUCCUGUCACCGAGCCACGUGCAUUCUCCAGGACGACAUACCUAGUCUCCGAGUCACGUGCAUUCUCUCAGGCGACCUUUUCGCCAAGGUGACAUAUUCAACCACUGAACUCACGUGCAUUUUCCAGGUGACAUUCCAAUUCACCGAGCCACGUGUCCUCUUUGCAGUGGUUACCAAUUCACUUUCAAUAUCGACAACCAAUGCCCAAUGAUUUCUCAAUCAAAUAAUUAAAUCAACUCAACAAAACAUUAUAAAUGCUGAAUAAACAUACUUGGCCAUUCACCAAUCAAUACUCAAUCAAAUAAUUAAAUUAACUCAACAAAGCAUUAUAAAUGCUGAAUAAACAUACUUGGCCAUUCACCAAUCGAUAAUUCAAUCUCAAUCGAUUCCAAUCAAUUUAGGGUAAAUCCCUAAAAUAUCACAAUUUAUUCAAUUCCAUACAACGUGGAGCUCAAAUAAAUAAACGAACUGCGCCACGACGAUCAGCACGAGAUUUCGGUCGUCGGCCAUCAAAAUCUUAAUUUCCGAAAAAUAAUUAAUUAAUUUCGAAAAUUAAAUAAUUAAUAUUAAAAAUUCAAUUUAGCUCAAAUAAAGCCCGAUUAAAUAAACGGACUUCACCACGGUCAUCAGCACAAUAUUCCGGUCCCGAGCCAUCUCAGUUGAAUUUUCGGAAAAUAAAUAAUUAUUUAAUUUAAUUCCGAAAAUUAAUAUUUAAAUACUAAAAAAUCCACUUAGGCCCGAAAAGCCUAUUUGGAGCCCACUAAGGGUCGGGAAAAAUCCCGAGGCACUUCCAAUAAUUAGUAGACCACGUCUACUUGCUAAUUGCACAAUCAAUUUAUCUAAAUCGCAUCACAAUUCACUAAUAAUUGCUAAUUUAUUCUAAUCUAACAACCUAAAUAUAAUUAAUUAAAUCUAAACCAACCUUAAGCAUAAUUAGCCAACUAAUCCAAGAUUAGUGAGAUUACUCACCAAAUCGCGCGCAAGUCGGAUCAAUCCGACGGCGGCGACGCGAGGAACAAAACUCCCCAAAGCGACUCGCGGAUUCGGGGCCGAGAAAUGGCCCAAAACGGGCCCAAGAGCCGGCUGAAAACCCACUUCGUGGGUUGCUGGAUUAGGGUGGCUGGACGAGACGGAACAGCGGCUGGUUCGUGCGGAGGGAGGAGCGGCCGCGAGCGACGGACGGCGGGACGGCGGCGGCGCACAGGCGCGGCGCGGGUGCGGGCGACGGUGCGGCGGCGGGACAGCGACGGAGCUGCAACUUCUGGUCUUCUUCCGCUUCUGGUUUCCGCGAAGAAGAAAGAAGAAAGAAGGAGAAGAAAGGAGCCGGUUCUGUCGUGCAGGGGAAGAAAGAAGAGAGAGAGAGAAGGGAUAAGCAUUGACCGGUCAAAGAAAGAGAGAGGGAGGGAAUGGGCGGUGGGGGCAAUUCGCACGAGGGGGAGGGGAGAGGAGAGAGAAAGAAAAGAGAGAAAAGAAAGAAAAGAAAAGAGAGGGAGAGAGAGAGGAAAAAGAAAAGGAAAUGCAUAAUUCCUUAUUUCAAUUUUCCUUUUCUCUUUUCUUUUGGGCUUCAAUUUUCUUCCGAUAAUUUCUUUAUUGAAAUUUCGGACCCGUCAAUAAAUUGACGAGCGAUGAGACAGGAUCCUAAAAAUAAGAAUUAUGACGCGCUUAAAAUUCGAUUCCCGAAAUCGAGUUCAAUUUCGUGGUUAAAAAUCGAUCAAACGUGAUUUUAGUCCAAUCCAACAAAUUGAGUAGCUUUUAGGGAUUUUACUGCAGAUACAUCCCUUAACGGCUUCACCCAAUAAGUUAGUUAACUCGUGAGUGAUCAGCUCAGAGAAAAGGACCGUAAACACGUUGACGAAAGGCCCAUUUCACUUUAUCGAAACGGGGUCGAAUUUCAGGAUGUCACAACUCUUCCCCUCUUAUAAAAAUUUCGUCCUCGAAAUUUAAGCCAUUACGCACUUUGAUAAAAAGGCGGGGGUACAACUGUCUCAUCGAUUCUUCCGUCUCCCAGGUCGCUCCUUCAUUGCCGUGGUGUUGUUAGACCACUUUGACCAACGGAAUGGUCUUUGUACGCAGAACUUGCUCUUUGCGAUCGACAAUCUGAGCCGGGCUUUCCACGUAUGACACACGGUCAUCCACGUCCAAUUACUCGAAAUUGAGCACGUGGGUCGGGUCAGGCUCGUACUUCCUUAAUCUCGACACGUGAAAGACGUCAUGCACUUGCGCCAAACUUGGCGGCAACGCAAGACGAUACGCUAGGUUUCCGAUUCUUUCAAGAAUCUCAAACGGACCUAUGUACCUCGGACUCAGUUUGCCUUUCUUACCAAAGUGCGAAGUUCCCCUCAUUGGUGACACUUUCAGAAAAACGUGAUCACCAACUUGGAAUUCCAAAGACCUUCAACGCUUAUCUGCAUAACUUUUCUGCCUGCUCUGCGCUGUCUUUAAUCUGUCUCUGAUCACUGCCACGGCAUCUACCGAUUGCUGAACCAACUCUGGGCCUGAUAUCUUCCUUUCUCCGACUUCAUCCCAACACACUGGAGUUCUGUAUACUCUGCCAUACAACGCUUCAAAUGGAGCCAUCUUGAUACUCUGCUGAUAACUGUUGCUGUAGGAGAAUUCCACCAGAUGAAGCUGAUCUUCCCAACUUCCUUUGAAGUCUAUUACACAUGCUCUCAGCAUGUCUUCAAGAGUCUGAAUCGUCCUUUCAGACUGGCCAUCCGUCUGAGGAUGAUACGCCGUACUGUACUGAAUCUUUGUACCUAAAGCACUCUGCAAGCUCUUCCAAAAAGCAGCAGUAAAUCUUGGAUCUCUAUCGGAUGUUAUCGUAACUGGCACUCCAUGCAUACGAACCACCUGACGCACAUACAAGUCUGCGUGUCUAUCUAGACUCAGGUCCUUUCGAACUGCAAUGAAGUGAGCCGACUUUGUCAGCCUGUCGACUACUAUCCAAAUCGAAUCAUUUCCCCUUUGACUCCUUGGUAGUCCAGUCACGAAGUCCAUCGUGAUAUGCUCCCAUUUCCACUCUGGGAUCGCGAGAGGUUGUAGAAAUCCUCCCGGCUUACAAUGCUGAGCUUUUACUUGCUGACAAGUUAAACACUUGGCCACAUGCUUGGCGAUGUCCGCCUUCAUACCUGACCACCAGUAGUGUUGACGUAAAUUCUGAUACAUCUUAGUGCUUCCAGGAUGAACGCUGUAAUUGCUACGAUGUGCUUCAGAUAAAAUUUCUUCUCUAAGCUCAACAUCGUCAGGUACCACCAAACGUCCUUGGAACCUUAGAGUCCCAUCAUCAGAAACUUGAAAAUCAGCUUUUAUUUUAUAAGUAUCCUCUUGAAGAAUUUUCUGUACGUCUGGAUCUGUCGGUUGAAGUUCUUUGAUUCUGACUUGGACAUCCGGUUCAAUUCUGAGGGUGGCCAUAAAACUCGAGAGGUGGCCUACCUCGAAUUUGAAUUCCAAAUCUCGAGCUCUCUCAAUUAAGUUCCACUCCUUAACCAUGAUCCGUGCCACUGAAGACUUCCGACUCAAUGCAUCGGCGACCUUGUUCGCCUUUCUCGGGUGAUAUAGAAUGUCACAGUCGUAAUCUUUCAGCAAUUCCAUCCAUCGCCGCUGUCUCAUGUUCAACUCCUUCUGAGAGAACAAAUACUUGAGACUCUGGUGGUCCGUGAAGAUCUGAAACUUUUCCCCACACAAGUAGUGCCUCCAAAUCUUCAACGCAAAUAUGAUGGCUGCGAGUUCUAAGUCAUGCGUCGGAUAAUUCAAUUCAUGAGGUCUCAACUGCCUGGAAGCGUAUGCAACAACUCUGCCAUGUUGCAUCAGCACGCAACCCAAUCCCCUGAAUGACGCAUCACUAUAGAUCUCGAAUCCUCCAGGACAAGAUGGAAUCGUCAGCACAGGUGCGGUAGUCAGCUUUUCCUUCAAUUCUUGAAAACUACACUCGCACUUGUCUGUCCAUAUGAACUUCUCAUUUUUCUUCGAGAGCUUUGUCAGAGGCGACGCUAUCGAUGAGAACCCUUCCACAAACCGUCUGUAAUAACCUACUAACCUUAGAAAACUUCUGAUUUCUGUCACUGAUGUCGGUCUCGGCCACUUGAUCACGGCUUCUGUCUUGCUCGGGUCGACGGAGAUUCCUUCUCCGGAAAUCACAUGACCUAAGAACGCAACACGAGUCAGCCAAAACUCGCAUUUGCUGAAUUUAGCAUACAACUGAUGAGUUCUUAAGGUCUGAAGCACUAAUCUCAGAUGAUUCUCAUGCUCUUCAUCACUUCUCGAAUAGGCUAAGAUAUCAUCAAUGAACACAAUCACAAACUGAUCCAGAUAUUCCUUGAACGUUCUGUUUGUCAAAUCCAUGACAGCAACUGGAGUGUUCACCAUGCUAAACGAUCUUUUAUAAUACUCUCGUAAAGACCAUAUCAAGUACGAACAGCUGUCUUUCGUACAACCUCCUUCCUGGUUCGUAACUGACAACUUCAUAAUCUCAAGUCGACCUUUAAAACAUCGAUACUCUUUAUACUAGUCACACCAUUCAUGGAUCUUUGGCAAAGAACACUUGUCCUUGAUCUUCACUAAUUGAGUUGAUGAUAGUUGAUGCGCACUUGCAAUAAACCAUCUUUCUUCUUCUCACAAACGAAACUGAUGUUUCCCAAAAUGAUGCACUGAUAUGGAUGAAUUCCUCAUUCAUCAAUCUUCACAUCUGCAUCUUCAAUUCUACCGAUUCAGACAACAACAGCUGGUAAGAAGCCUUCGAGAGUGGCUCUAUCUUGGUGCUAUCUCAAUUGCAAUUUCAAUCUUUCUUUCUGGCAGUAACUCAAGCAAUUCCUUCGGAACCAUCUUAGAAAUUUUUCGGUAUCACGACCACCUUCUUCGCAUUCUAUUUCUCAACUGACACAUCCACUACAGCUGUCAAAUCAAUCUUGGCAACCUCCGUCUAACAAACGGAUUGUCUUUAGCCAACGAGAUUAAUGAAAUCGAAGAUUCUUUUCGACUCUUAAUAAUCUUGCUAUUUUCGCAAACUAAUAGACUAAACUGGAUUAUUCCAUGACCAUGAUUCCUUAUCACAAGAUGCUUUAUGAACUCACACUAUUCAUGUGGCGUCAAACUCACACCUUAGCAACUAGUCAAGCACAACUAUUGCUAGUAAUUCAUUCUCUUUCACUUUUACGUCAACAAUUUAAGUUCUACCAACUCAGCACAAAGCUCUACUGCGCUUCUCUGAAAAAAUCACUUCCAACACAUUCUUUCUCUGAUCGGUGCAAGGUCCAUUUUACUCCCAUUCCUUCAUGGCCGCAGUAGCGAUGUCUAUGCCACCUUAGACUUCCACUGACAGUCCUUCACCUGAUGGCCAUGCUAGUCAUCAUCACAACAUGUUCUAGUCAUACUCGGACACUGGAUUUAUCCAUACUUCCUUCUACAACUCCGACACCUAUCUGGUGCAUCUUCUAUCUUCUAUUAGGCGAAAGCAUGCACUCUUUCUGGUUGCCUCAUCAUUCUGCUAGGACCACUCCUGACCAGAUAUCCCUGUUAGCUAUACUCCAAACAAAUUCGCGUCCUAGGAAGGACAUAAUACUGAUCUCCAUCAUCACGUCUGAAAACAACCUGAUCUAUUUGACUCGGUGCUGACUUGACUACUCCAUCCUUCCUCGUGAGUGGAAUAGAAUGUUUUUUCUCUCGACCUCGGUCUUUUCCCUGACCGAUUUCCAUUUUUGCCUGAACUGGAUCUAUACCUCGGCUCGAAUGCAAUGACUCGCUCCCAGAUCACAUCUCCACUCUGGAUCUCAGCAGGAGAGGCGACAACUGCGGUUGCGGCACUGAUGGCAGCUCGAUCUUGAGCUUGCUGGCUCAUCCAGUUCCCAAGGAACACUAGCAUCAGAACGAUCCUAUCGAACUUAGGAUCAUUCGACGCUGCUACACUAGUACCAACCUGCGGUGGUACUCUUACACUCGAGCUGGCCAGAGCCAACACUCUGCCACAACCACCUCGGGUACCGACCUUUGUCAGUGCUUUAUCCCGAGUCACAAAGGACAUUGUCCUCUUACUAGGAGUUCUCAACUCCUGCUCGCUCAUGGUUCAGUCUUUACACUGAAACCCGUCUUCCACAUCCACACCGGAUUAGAAGAUGAGCGAUCCACACACAACAAACAAUUCUAGCAUUCGGCUAGCACAGACAUGCAUUGGCAUGAAUUUAAAGGCCAUCCUACUAACUAUCCCAUGGUCAACGCUCCUUAUUACUCCAAUCUUCAACCUCGCUCUGAUACCACUUAAACUGGAUGUCACGCCCCGAUCCUCGGGCACGCACACAUCCUUCUCACUUGGUCGAUUUUAUAAUGCGAUAUCCCAGGACUAGUAUCGCCGACCCUUUCAUUUAUUAAGCACAUGCGGAAGCAGUUAAAAUCCCCAGACAAUAAAACGAUGGGAUAGAAAAGCAGGGCCAUAUUUUUCAUAUUGAAAUUUAUAACCAAACUUUUAUACAAACCACAAACCCUUUCAUAACUAUUCACAUCAACAUGGAGAUCUCAAAAGAAGACAGAAACUUAGAUGAACUAGGCCGUACUCGAGGCCCCUCUCAUAAUUGUCUUCUUCUUCCAAAAAUCCUUUUCUUCAGAUCUCUCCUCCGAGUUCUCCUUCUCGGAUUCCUCCUCCACAGCUCUUCAGCGGGGUCCUGAAAUGGUUUCCCCAAACUGGGAUGAGACUACGUCUCAGCGAGUUCUACCCCACUAAGCCCGAUUAGUAAACUAUUAGACUAAAGGCUGCCUAAACACGCACAGGGCAGAGGACUUACCUUGGCCUCUUAUCUCACCUGCAAGUCAGUACAAUUCAUAAUAGGCACCAAAGCAAUCAUAUCACCGAUCGAAGCAUCGAUCAAAUCGACCUAGUCGAUUAUAUUCCAACAAGACCACUCACGGUCAUUUCCAUUCAGUCAAUCAAUUCACAACAUCAAAUCAAAGCAUCGACCUAGUCGAUUACAUGCCAAACAAAUCAAUCCCCACUGUGGGAUAUUUAAAAACUAGGCCACAUGUAUUCUCCAGGAUGACCUUCCAAGUCUCCGAGCCACGUGCCUCAAACCUCGGACCCACGUGCAUUCUCUAAGGCGACCUCUUCGCCAAGGUGGUACAUCAAGCCACCGAGCCACGUGUCCUUUUUACGAUGCCCGGGCCCACGUGCAUUCUCUAAGGUGCUAUCUCACCAAGGUGAUGCAUCAAUUCACCGAGCCACGUGCCCUUUUAGAUGCCAUUCCGGAAUGCUGGACCCACGUGCAUUCUCUAAGGUACUCGCUUACCAAAGUGACGCAUCAGAUCACCGAGCCACGUGUCCUUUUAGAUGCCAAAUCCUGUCAC